RNAcentral lists this ribosomal RNA (271 nucleotides) under uncultured bacterium. Its description in RNAcentral is "partial 16S ribosomal RNA". It matches the Rfam family "Bacterial small subunit ribosomal RNA", at positions 355 to 618 of the family's 1533-position model. The record is from RNAcentral.
UAGGGAAUCUUCGGCAAUGGGGGCAACCCUGACCGAGCAACGCCGCGUGAGUGAAGAAGGUUUUCGGAUCGUAAAGCUCUGUUGUAAGUCAAGAACGGGUGUGAGAGUGGAAAGUUCACACUGUGACGGUAGCUUACCAGAAAGGGACGGCUAACUACGUGCCAGCAGCCGCGGUAAUACGUAGGUCCCGAGCGUUGUCCGGAUUUAUUGGGCGUAAAGCGAGCGCAGGCGGUUUGAUAAGUCUGAAGUUAAAGGCUGUGGCUCACCAUAG